Long non-coding RNA from Hermetia illucens (black soldier fly), 371 nucleotides. RefSeq lists it as uncharacterized. The transcript is spliced from 2 exons. The record is from RefSeq and is a predicted model, not a curated record. Lineage: Eukaryota; Metazoa; Arthropoda; Insecta; Diptera; Stratiomyidae.
UCAAAUCGAUCGGAGUAAAAUUGGGAAAGUUAUGAGUAUUUGAACGUCCGUCGCCCCAGGCCGGGUUUUUAGUAUGCAAAAUUUUAAAUUGCUUUUUUAAACUUGGUGUUUUCGAAGUCCUUCCGUGCCACAUCACAAAAUCUACUGUACUUCUUCCCAUAAUUUUCCAGCCAAUUUGUUAGCAGAAAUCGGGAUUUGGCUUCAAAGUGUUACGAAAAAUUGAAAAAUCGACAAAAGAAAUCCUUCCGAAGUUACCUCGAGAUGACACCGCAAAACAUAUUGUUCAAAUGUUUCAGUUUGUAUGGACAUUGACUGGAAAUUGAGUCAAUAAGUUGAGACUAUCUGUAUCAACAAAAAAAAUCUUAAAAAUG